CCUCCUUCCCAUGGCUUCGUGCACCCUUACCGGCCGUCGAGCUCGUCGGAAAAUUCAUGAAAAUGGUGAACCCUAUUUUGCUCUGUUUCAGUCGGGCCCUUUCCUCUCUUUUCCGGCCACCGACGCCGCUGAUUGCGGCGUCUAACCCCUAGGAUAGGACCCUUGCCUCCUAGCCUUCCUUCUCUAUGGGUCUUGGCCGCUGGCGACCAGUCAAUGACCGGAAAAUAAGAGGUAAGGGGCGGAUCCCCUGUU
RNAcentral lists this long non-coding RNA (252 nucleotides) under Elaeis guineensis (African oil palm). RNAcentral describes it as "long non-coding RNA (EGUI_LNC001191)". Lineage: Eukaryota; Viridiplantae; Streptophyta; Magnoliopsida; Arecales; Arecaceae. The record is from RNAcentral.